Molecule: transfer RNA, 67 nt
Filed under: Protohermes subnubilus
Lineage: Eukaryota; Metazoa; Arthropoda; Insecta; Megaloptera; Corydalidae
Description: tRNA-Asp
Rfam family: tRNA
About the family: Transfer RNA (tRNA) molecules are approximately 80 nucleotides in length.
Source: RNAcentral
AAAGAAUUAGUUAAAUUAACAUUAGUAUGUCAAGCUAAAAUUAUUAGUAUAAAUCUAGUAUUCUUUG